Molecule: ribosomal RNA, 196 nt
Filed under: uncultured bacterium
Lineage: Bacteria
Description: partial 16S ribosomal RNA
Rfam family: Bacterial small subunit ribosomal RNA
Source: RNAcentral
ACGCUCGACACCUACGGGGCAGCAGUGGGGAAUAUUGCACAAUGGGGGAAACCCUGAUGCAGCAACGCCGCGUGAAGGAAGACGGUUUUCGGAUUGUAAACUUCUGUUCUUAGUGAAGAUAGUGACGGUAGCUAAGGAGCAAGCCACGGCUAACUACGUGCCAGUAGCCGCGGUAAUCUGAGCGGGCUGGCAAGGC